This 429-nucleotide ribosomal RNA is filed under the name Bacteroidota bacterium. RNAcentral's name for it is "Bacteroidetes bacterium partial 16S ribosomal RNA". It matches the Rfam family "Bacterial small subunit ribosomal RNA", at positions 355 to 776 of the family's 1533-position model. Lineage: Bacteria; Pseudomonadati; Bacteroidota. The record is from RNAcentral.
UAGGGAAUCUUCCGCAAUGGACGCAAGUCUGACGGAGCAACGCCGCGUGAGUGAAGAAGGAUUUCGGUUCGUAAAACUCUGUUGUUAGAGAAGAACAGCGCAUAGAGUAACUGUUAUGCGUGUGACGGUAUCUAACCAGAAAGCCACGGCUAACUACGUGCCAGCAGCCGCGGUAAUACGUAGGUGGCAAGCGUUGUCCGGAUUUAUUUGGCGUAAAGCGAGCGCAGGCGGUCAAUUAAGUCUGAUGUGAAAGCCCCCGGCUCAACCGGGGAGGGUCAUUGGAAACUGGUUGACUUGAGUGCAGAAGAGGAGAGUGGAAUUCCAUGUGUAGCGGUGAAAUGCGUAGAUAUAUGGAGGAACACCAGUGGCGAAGGCGACUCUCUGGUCUGUAACUGACGCUGAGGCUCGAAAGCGUGGGUAGCAAACAGG